AGUCUCAGUAAGGGCUGUCCUCAUGAUAAGCCACUUGAGGCUUAGGUCAUAGCUAGCCUCCUCUUUGGGAGUGGCCAACAGUGGCUGUGGCUUCUGGGAAGAGGCUCCAAUGGAGGGCUCAUCUUGGGCAGACCCAGUUUCUGGAAACUGCCGUAAGUCCCUGGGAAAACAGCUUAGGGGGGAACCCUUUGGGGUCAGGAUCAAGAGGGCAAGGGGGGCCCAUCAGGGAAGGUGACCUAUUGCCUUGCAAGUAUGCAUCCAGCUGGAGAAUCUGCUUGUGAGGUGUUCCCCUAUCUAAUGGGGGAGGUGGGCAAGUACAGAGGCUCAAGAAGGAUGCAUUGGAGAUUCCCAGGGGGCCUAGGGAGUUUUCACCCUAGCUUCCACCUGGGGAGCUGUUGGAGCUCAACCUUGUCGCACCAGGGCCAGGAAACUGCACGUUCAAACUCCUGGAUGCAGGAGCCCUGGUGCAUUCACAGAACCCGAAUGAGUUCUGGAUGGAUUAAGGCUGCUGACAUGUGCAGAGAGCUAGACGUGAGGUGGGCGGGCAGGGGCCAAAUGAUGACAGCGUGGAGGCUGCACUGGGACCCCAUCAGAGGCCUCCGGGAACCACAGGAAGGUCUUAAGCAGGAAAGCAAUGUGGCUUGAUUUUGUGCCCGAGGAAGACCACCCAGACAGAGACAAGGCAGAGAAGGAUCAGGAAGCAGGUUCAUCCAGGAGCCAGCAAAGAAAGAAAAGGGGCAGAUACUGUAAAGAGCUAACAAUCGCCGGAGCAGGUCCCUGAAGGAGCCGAAUGAUGGGAUCCAGGGCGCAGGAGGUAGGCAGAAAUCCUCGGAGCUGGGCUGGCCUGCCCUACAAGCUUCCAGAAUGUUCUCCCUGCACCCAGCCGGACGGCUAGCUGACGGGAGUCGGCCCGGGCCUUUGUGGGACCCACAUCUGACCCUGUCCUGCCCGUCUCUCUGACGACGCUCCACUGCCUCCCAAAUAAAGCCAAAAUUUCUUAAGGGGACUUCCCAGGGACUCUCACAAAGCCCGGCUCUAGCCCUUUCUGGAACGUCCAGUGCCUUGGCCGAGCCCUCUGGCCCCAGUGCUGGGAACGGCUGUCCUCCCUCCCUCACAGCCCCCCUCGGACGGCCCCUCCUCCUGGAAGCCCGGCCCGCUGACGCUGCCUUCGCAGGGAGGGACCCCGCGCGGCGCCCCCGUG
This 1201-nucleotide long non-coding RNA is filed under the name Equus caballus (horse). RNAcentral describes it as "lncRNA (ENSECAG00000053153.1)". The record is from RNAcentral. Lineage: Eukaryota; Metazoa; Chordata; Mammalia; Perissodactyla; Equidae.